GACGAACGCUGGCGGCGUGCUUAACACAUGCAAGUCGAACGGAAAGGCCCUGCUUUUGUGGGGUGCUCGAGUGGCGAACGGGUGAGUAACACGUGAGUAACCUGCCCUUGACUUUGGGAUAACUUCAGGAAACUGGGGCUAAUACCGGAUAGGAGCUCCUGCUGCAUGGUGGGGGUUGGAAAGUUUCGGCGGUUGGGGAUGGACUCGCGGCUUAUCAGCUUGUUGGUGGGGUAGUGGCUUACCAAGGCUUUGACGGGUAGCCGGCCUGAGAGGGUGACCGGCCACAUUGGGACUGAGAGACGGCCCAGACUCCAACGGGAGGCAGCAGUGGGGAAUAUUGCACAAUGGGCGGAAGCCUGAUGCAGCAACGCCGCGUGCGGGAUGACGGCCUUCGGGUUGUAAACAGAUUUCGCCGGUGACGAAGAGUGAGUGACGGUAAUGGGUAAAGAAGCACCGGCUAACUACGUG
RNAcentral lists this ribosomal RNA (468 nucleotides) under uncultured bacterium. Its description in RNAcentral is "partial 16S ribosomal RNA". It matches the Rfam family "Bacterial small subunit ribosomal RNA", at positions 28 to 507 of the family's 1533-position model. The record is from RNAcentral.